CUGCUCCAGAGAAGCAGCCUUUGUUCCUCAGUUCAUCGCAACACUCAGCCUGUCAGUCAGGUUGUGGGAUCCCUCCUAUCCAGGAACUGUAUGCUGUUGUCCCGGUUCUGACACUUUCCCUCUGAGUCCUUGGACACCUUACCUAACCUCUUGGAAGCUCCUGUCUGUGAAGGGUGUGCACAGAGAGCUUCGGUAGCCUGCGAAGCAGCCAUUUUCACUUCCACGGAGCAGAUGCUGGCCUGGGUGCUGGAAUAUGGAAAUGAGGAAGAUCCUGCCUGAGGAUUUCAUGACAGUGCUGCGAUUACCGACGUGAGCCACUGUGCCCAGCCUCACUUUAAAAAAAAAAAAAGGUUAUGAAGCAUCUCAACACAAGACCUCCUUUGCUCAUCACAACCACCCAGUGAAGCAGGCAAGACAACAGAAACUCCCCACCUGUGAUAGAUGUGAGGCCUGAAGUCUCCCACAUACCCACGGCAGAUGCAACGCACAGCGGUGACCAAUGGUGAAGGAUCUAAAACCUGAAAAGAGGCCAAAUGAUUCCUCAAAACCACGCAAGUACGAAGUAGCAGAGCGGAUCUCAAAUCCAGGUGUGUCUGACUUCCAGCCUAAUGGCUUUUCUUAAAAACACCCCCAAACUCUUGGUAACAUCUAUGCAAUGAAAAGGGUUGUCAUGAAAACUGCUUCCCAGUUUGUUAAAUUCUUAUGCAGGUCUCCAGUGUCAGAAACGCUGAGUAUCACUAAUCUCAAGACCUUCUCUCUGCUAUACGAGCUCUGGCAGAGCUUGUCUCCAAGGGCUAGACAGGAAAAAAAAAAUCUGGGUUCAAUUAAAAUAUAUCAAUAAAGAGAACUAAAAGGAGCUCCAAAACGUUGCUGCCCUUCUGCGGGCUGUCUGUGUGUAAUGCCGGCUCCUUCACUCUUUUAUGGCACCAUGAUUGUGUUUUACCCUCCCGACUGUUAACUGCCAACUGUUAACUGUUAACUGCCCAAGGUUGCCCUGCUGAUGUCAUGCCUGACCAUAUGACUUGCUCCAGCCAAUGAAAUGUAAGCAGAAGUGACAUAUGCAGCAUGACCAGUGGAAGCUUCGAAGAGCUAUUGCCAAUUUCCACCCUCUCUCUGGAAACUGUCAUUAGGGUUAGGGAAACUGUCAUGAGAUCUGCAUAUUUUAGAUAGAGGCUGCUUGCCUUAUUUGGGCACCUAAUGAAAAAGACAUGGAGGCCAGGUGCGGUGGCUCAUGUCUGUAAUCCCAGCACUUUGGGAGGCCAAGGCGAGUGGAUCACCUGAGGUCAGGAGUUCGAGACCAGCCUGACCAACAUGGCAAAACCCCGUCUGUACUAAAAGUGCAAACACAAAGGGAACUGCGUGGCUUGUUUCUACCUGAACAUUGUCAAGUGAUUUCAUCCUUUGAAACACAGUUGUGAAGUGUGUCCAGCAGUCUGAGAACAAGAAGAAGAAGAAAAUCUAAUCCUUCAGGGUGUCUGUGUGCCAGCCCUGCUCUCAGCACUUCCCAUGUGGAACUCCUUUACUUCUCCUAACAACUCCAUGACAUGGGUUAGACUGUGAUUGUUCCCAUAUUGUUGGUAGGGAAACUGAGGCAUGCAGGUGUUACAGAGCUCUCUCAAGUGGCAAGCUUUCUGGGUGGUUACAGAGUGGCAGAGCUGGGGUAUCCCAUGAUGUCACCACACUGCUAUAUGGAAAAGAACAUUAAUCGAGCACCUACGUGCUUGAUUCUCUUAAUUCUGUGACUGAACUCUCAAAACACCCUGGGUUGGUUUCCUUUUUACAACUGCCCAAGUCAUGAGUUCAUAGGGCCUGGAUGGCUGUACCGGAUUGCUCUCCAGCUGGUCUCUCUGCAUCCAGAAAUUUCUACAACCUACUGGGGUAAAAUCUUUCUCAACCCUGCUUUUCAUCAUCACAUCUUAAAUAUCUCGAGUUGGUUCCCUAUUGCCAAAAAAAAUCCAUUGUCCAUGUAGGGUUCUUCUGCCGAAACGAGGAAAGAGUGAGUUAAAUGUUGGUAGGUGAUAUAGAGAUAGUAAUUAGGCAAUAUAAUUCGAUGUUGUUGAAAGAGCUGAGCUAUGAAAUGCAUUGUGAUAAAGGGGCUGCCUGUGUAAGUAAAUGGGUAUAAUGAGGUGUAAAACUCCCUUUCUCUCUCUCUUUCUGCUUCAUAAGCCUUUCUGCUUCUCAAGUCCAGACCUGCUGUUUUUGGGGUUUCCUUCCAAUUUUUUUGCUGCUUCCCUGGGGCCUUGGCUCUUGGGCCUGCUGCCUCUUCCCACUCUACACCUUUGGAUUCCUUAUCUUUGGCUCCACCUUAUUGCUCCAUUCUCCAAAGACAAAUCCACAAGGCAUAGGAUUUUACAGAAUAUGGGGUUACAGAAACAGCAUAGGGAAGUGUAAAAGCCUAGAAGCUUCUUACAGACGCAGCCCCUUGUCUGUAGCUCCUGACUCCCACUUAAAUGUCUGUUGGAAGCACCCUGGGGUAGCAGAACCCAGCUCAGAAGAUGGGGCUUAUCCACCAUGCCUUUUCCUAACCUGACACCCACCCAGAUAAUCUUUUCAAUAUGCAAACUAGAGCGUAUCACCCCCUGCUCAGAGCCUUUCUGUGACCUCCCAUUUUGCUUCCCAGGACUCCUUGCUCCUUAGCCAGGUCUCCAGGUCCUCCGUGAUCAGGUCUCUGCUCUUCUGCAGCCUCAUCUCUGCCAUUCUUCACCUUUUGUGCUCCAACCCAAUCUGGUUUUCUUCUCAUGCUUUGAACACCCCAAGUCUGUCUGCUUCAGGAGCUUCGUACUGGCUAAUCAUUCACCACAGCAUACUCCCAUCUAUACGGCUGGCUCUUAUAUUAUGGGUCUCAGCUAAAAUGUCAUCCCUUCAAAGAGACCUUCUUGGACCACCCCCGCCAUUCUCUAUCCUAUUUCUCUCUUUUAUUUUCUUUGAAGCACUUACCCACUUUCAGAAACUAUCUGGCUUGCUCAUGUGUUUGUCUCUAGAUUGUCUACUUCCCCUCCUAGACUGUACUCUCCACAAGAGAGCAAAGCUGUGUCUGUUGCAUUCACUGUUGUCUUCCCAGAAGCAAGCAGCAUGCUGGAGACCCUCAAAUACAUGUGAAAUGAAGGGACACCUUGUGUUAUUUCACCUGUUUCCACCUGGUUCCCAAGUGGCAAGCUUGCAUUGAGGUUACAAAGUGGCAAAGCUGGGAUAUCACAUGAUGUCACCAUGAUGCUAUAUGAAAUGUAACAUUAAUUGAGUACCUAUGUGACCAGUUCUUUAAUUCUGUAAGUGAACUCUCAAAAAACCCUAGGUAAGUAUUAUCAACUCGAACUUUAACGGAUGAGGAAACUGGAAUUUUUUAAAAAAUGACUUAACCAAACAUCACAGAGCUGUAAACCAGGAUUUGAAUGGGUGAGCUGCACUCAGCCUUCAUCUCAAGUCAGUUUGCCUCUUUCUCCAAGAAGCCACAGUUGAUCCUGACCACAUCACAUAUGAGUUGCCUGGAUUGCAGUCAUUCAUUCACUAAGCAUCUUUUAGGAGGUCACAUGCCAGGCACCGUGUUAGGUAAUGAUUUCUCCAAGUCACAGGAGCCGUGGUUCUGACUUUAGAAAGUUUCUCAUCUGAUGGGAGGGCAGGCAAGUAAAUCAGUAAGGGUGGUCCCUGUCGGGACACUGGUUGAGAAAUACCCAGGAACACUCUGAUUGAGAAAUACCCAAAGUGCAAAGUGACAGGGACUAGAGGCAUCUCCACUGGACCAGAGAGCUCUGGAUUCGUCUUGAGCUAAGUCUCUGGAGGUAGGUGUCAGCUACAAGGAGAAAAGCUGUAUAUUUUGAGAUAUGGGAUGCAGGGCCUUUUAGUUCCAUAAAUAAGAGAACUAUGGUGUGAAUACCACAUGCCCUGGGCUGAACUAAGUGGGCUCUAGGGGAAGGUAUACUGGGCAGGGAGUUUGGAGAACUGGUUUCUGUCUAAUCCUUCUCUAACUCUGUGACCUUGAAUGCAUCAUUUCCCCUCUGAGUCUCAGAUUCUCUUUCUGGCUGGCAUUUAAUGAAACCUAAAUAUUCUAGACCUUCUACUUGUUCCAUAAGUGCUCAGUCCUACACUCACUCUCCUCUGGCACCAAUAUACUGAUUACUCAUUUUAUGCCCAGCAGAGCACUGCGUGUUUUGAAAUAUACAAAUAGUGGGAAACGAAAUCUUUGUUCUGGAUGCAGUUAUAAUUUGGAAAGCGAGGAAAUAAAUUAUAACAAGGGGAAAAAACAGACACAGAGGGAUUGAAAUGCAUAACAAUAGAGAUGAAACACGAAGAGUGAUAAAUGAAGAUUGAGUGUGCACACCUUCUGGAGGAGCCCUGAUUGAGUAUUUUAAAAUACUACUAAAGUCAUGCCGUGUGACUUCUGAAGCUAGCUCCUAAGAAGUCCUUGCAGCUUCUGCCUGCGACUCUUAGAACACUUGCUUUGAAGGAUGCCAGAUGCUGUCUUAAAAGUCUGAGCACUCUGAAACCAUCAUGCUGUGAGGAAGCCCAAGCUAACCACAUGGGCAAAAAAGAUGCCCUCUGACUGCCACCAUUUGAGACACUCUAAUUAAGAACUGCCUCAUUGAGCCCAUGAGGCCCUGUGAAUGAUAAUAAUAAAUUGUUUUUAACCACUAUGUUUUUGGAUUUGUUAUAAGUUUAUAGAUAACAAGAAAAAGUUAUAUUAGCAUGGUAAUAAAAUUAUGGAUAUGUGUAAGUUUGGUGUUUUGUUUCUUUUUUUUUUUUACACUAAGCCUAUAUUACUGUUGUAAUUUAGGAAAUCACUUGUUUUCCUCCAGCACUUCAAUGUAAGAGUGGCACUACUUAGAAUGUACUUCUUAAGAUAUGGCU
This 4842-nucleotide long non-coding RNA is filed under the name Homo sapiens (human). Its description in RNAcentral is "HSALNT0143202". The record is from RNAcentral. Lineage: Eukaryota; Metazoa; Chordata; Mammalia; Primates; Hominidae.